RNAcentral lists this long non-coding RNA (484 nucleotides) under Ananas comosus (pineapple). Its description in RNAcentral is "long non-coding RNA (ACOM_LNC020107)". The record is from RNAcentral. Lineage: Eukaryota; Viridiplantae; Streptophyta; Magnoliopsida; Poales; Bromeliaceae.
AUAUUAUUCUUGUACUGUCUGUUGUAGGGAUAUUAAUGGGUAUGGAUAUCUGAAAUUUUAUCCCAACUCGAACCGGAACGGAGCGGAUUUAUUCGAUACUAAAUGGAUAUGAUUUUGGAUAUGGAUACCAAAAAUAAAAACCGGAUAGGUAUGGAUAUGGAUUCGGAUAUAGAUUUUGACUGUACCCGACUCGAACCCGACCCAAGCCCAAAUUUAUUUUACAUUAUUAUAUAUAAUAUGUAUAUAAAAAUUUGAUGUUAUUUUGAAUUCGUAUUUUAAAAUUUUAGAUUUAGUGUAAUAUAUUUUGAAAUAUUGAAAAGAGAAAUAAUUGUUUCGGGUUCCGAUUUUUCGAUUCAGGUUCGGGUUUUGAAUUUUUGGUCGGAUUCGGAUUUGGAUAUGGCUUUUUAAAAUCCGUCGAAUUUAGAUUUGGGUUCGGAUUUUGGGUUUGGAGUCGGGUUCGGAUUUAGAUUUUUGAAAAUUGGCA